This 8325-nucleotide long non-coding RNA is filed under the name Triticum aestivum (bread wheat). RNAcentral's name for it is "long non-coding RNA (TAES_LNC008650)". Lineage: Eukaryota; Viridiplantae; Streptophyta; Magnoliopsida; Poales; Poaceae. The record is from RNAcentral.
CACAACACAACUCUACAACAUAACUAAGUCAUACAAGCAUCAUAAUACAAGCCAGGGGCCUCGAGGCCUCGAAUACAAGUGCUCGAUCAUAGACGAGUCAGCGGAAGCAACAAUAUCUGAGUACAGACAUAAGUUAAACAAGUUUGCCUUAAGAAGGCUAGCACAAAAGUAGCAACGAUCGAAAAGGCAAGGCCUCCUGCCUGGGACCUCCUAACUACUCCUCAAAGCCAAACUCCACGUAGAAUCAUCCUCGGGAUCUCUAGCUCCUGGACUCCAGCAUCUGGUUGCGACAACCAGGUAUAGAAAGGGGAAAAGAGGGAGAAAAGCAACCGUGAGUACUCAUCCAAAGUACUCGCAAGCAAGGAGCUACACUACAUAUGCAUGGGUAUAUGUGUAAAGGGCCAUAUCGGUGGAAUGAACUGCAGAAUGCCAGAAUAAGAGGGGGAUAGCUAAUCCUGUCGAAGACUAUGCUUCUGGCCACCUCCAUCUUGCAGCAUGUAGAAGAGAGUAGAUUGAAGUUCUCCAAGUAGCAUCGCAUAGCAUAAUCCUACCCGGUGAUCCCCUCCUCGUCGCCCUAUAAGAGAGCGAUCACCGGGUUGUAUCUGGCACUUGGAAGGGUGUGUUUUAUUAAGUAUCCGGUUCUAGUUGUCAUAAGGUCAAGGUACAACUCCGGGUCGUCCUUUUACCGAGGGACACGGCUAUUCGAAUAGAUAAACUUCCCUGCAAGGGUGCACCACAUAACCCAACACGCUUGAUCCCAUUUGGCCAGACACACUUUCCUGGGUCAUGCCCGGCCUUGAAAGAUCAACACGUCGCAGCCCCACCUAGGCACAACAGAGAGGUCAGCACGCCGGUCUAAAUCCUAUGGCGCAGGGGUCUGGGCCCAUCGCCCAUUGCACACAUGCACGUUGCGAGGGCGGCCGGAAGCAGACCUAGCCUAGCAGGCGUUCCAGUCCAAUCCGGCACGCGCCGCUCCGUCGCUGACGUCACGAAGGCUUCGGCUGAUACCACGACGUCGAGUGCCCAUAACUGUUCCCGCGUAGUUGGUUAGUGCGUAUAGACCAAAUGGCCAGACUCAUAUCAAAUACCAAGAACUCGUUAAGCGUGUUAUUUUUAAGUAUCCGCGGACGCCGACCAGGGCCAGGCCCACCUCUCUCCUAGGUGGUCUCAACCUACCCUGUCGCUCCGCCACAAAGUAACAGUUGGGGGCCGUCAGGAACCCAGGCCCACCUCUACCGGGAUGGACCCACCUGUCCUUUCAGCCCCCUCAUCAGAAUCACUUGCGGGUACUUAACGAGCUGACCCGACUUUAGUCACCACAUGUGCCAUGUAUAUAAAGUAUAUAGUAUAUACCCGUGAUCACCUCCCUUGUGAUCACGGCCCGAUAGUAUAGCAUGGCAGACGGACAAGAGUGUAGGGCCACUGAUGGAACACUAGCAUCCUAUUCUAAGCAGUAGGAUAGCAGGUAAGGGUAACAACUGUAGCAACAAUGACAGGCUAUGUAGCAGAAUAGGAUUAACCGAAAGCAGUAACAUGCUACACUACUCUAAGGCAAGCAGUAUAGAGAAGAAUAGGCGAUAUCUGGUGAUCAAGGGGGGGCUUGCCUGGUUGCUCUGGCAAGAAGGAGGGGUCGUCAACAGCGUAGUCGGUCGGGGCACCAGCAGCGGCGUCGGUCUCGUAGUCUACCGGAGAAGAGGGGAAAGAAACAAUAAAUAUAAUGCAAACAUAAGCAUGACGAUGGAAGACAUGUCAAUGCCCGGUGCUAGGUGUGCCCUAACAUGGUAGAAGGUGGUACCGGGAAAGGGGGUAAACAUCCGGAAAAAUAUUCCCGGUGUUUCACAUUUUCGGACAAAUGAACCGGAGGAGGAAAGUUGCGUGUUUGCUAUGCUAGGGAUGUGUGGCGGGCGAACGGGCUGCGUAUCCAAAUUCGUCUCGUCGUUCUGAGAAACUUUCAUGUACAAAGUUUUUUCAUCCGAGCUACGGAUUAUUUUAUAUUAAUUUCCAAAGUUUUAUUUAUUUUCUAAAUUUAAAUUAAUUCGAAUUUAAACAGUGUAAUAUUCUUUUAUACCUAGCAGCAGCUAGCUACUGAGUAUGACAGGUGGGGGCCAGAGGCUGAGUCAGCAUGCACAGUCAGCAAGUCAAAGGUCAACGUUGACCAGUCAAACAGGGGGUGGGACCCAGGUGUCAUAGGAUGUUUUAUUAACAGCAGUUAUAAUUAGUUAGUUUAUCAAAAGGGGCCCACUAGUCAGUGGGAUAUUAGGUAGGGGGUUAGGUUAGUGCCUAAUUAACAGGGUCGGGCGCACCCGCUGGUUUUAACCAGUGCGCCGGCGGUGGCGUACAAAGGCGACGGGGCCUCGCCGGACUCGCGGCUCCGGCGACCAUUUGGUCAGCCGAGAGCGGUUACGGGGAGAGGGCAACGGCGCGAGUCGAGGAGAGGGGUCAGUAGGUGCGGGGGGUGGUCGGAGCGAUGGCUACGACGACUGACGAGCGGCGGUGGCGACGGAGCUGCGUUGGGGACCCGGUACAGGCGACCCAAGGACGCGUGGAUGGGCUCUCUGGAACGUCCGCAUCGCGGCGCGUCCAGCGGUAGCGGUGGCGUGGCCGGAGAUGUCCGGCAGCGACGGGGGCGAGGUCCGUGGCGUAGGAGGCUACAGUAGGCGGGCCAGGCCGAUGCAGGCGUGCAAGGGUGCAGCCGGACGCGGCGGCCGGGCUGCAGCGGCACGGGGCAUGGCGUUGAGGCAGGGCUAGCAAGGAGGCGCGGAGGAGAGGGCAGUACUGAGCAGAGGUGGACGGCGGGGCGCGCGGCGCGGUCUUCGCGGGGGCGAGGUAGCGGAGAGGGGAAGAGGAGGCCGAGGGCCUCACCGCGAGCCGUAGGGGAAUGGCAGCGGUUGUCGGGGAGGAAGACGGGGACGACGUGUGAUGAGGCGGCGCCGGUGCGGGUGAGGCCGGGGAAGCGAUCCGGCGAAGUCCGGCGGCGUCGUGGCGGCUCGGGUCGGGGGCGACGGGAUCGGGACGACGGUUGCCCCCGAUCCAGAUCCGUUCGUGGGGGGGAAGAGCGAGGAGAUCAUGCGGGUGGGGGGAGGAGUGGACCGAGAGGGGGGGGUAGUGGGGAUCGGGCAGAGGCGUUUUGUGCGUCGCGCGUGUGUGUGUGGCGGCGCACGGAGGGAAAGAAGGGAGCGAGAGGUGAGGGCUAGGGUUAGAGUGGGGUGGCUGGGCUUUGGGCCGGCCAUGCUGGCUUGUUGGGUCGGCUGGUCCAAUUGGACCAGGGGGUGGGAGUUUUAUCCUUUUCAUUUUUGUUUUUCUUUUAUUUUUCAAUUUCCUUUUUGUUUAUAUAAUCUUUCAAAUUGCUUUAGUUUUGUAAAACAUAUAGUUAGCACCUAAAUUAGUAAUAGUAAUUAUACCACUGCCACAAUUAUUUUUGUAGUUAUAAAAAGUAGUUUAUAAAUUAAUCAUUUAAGAGACGUUUAAAUAAUUGUUUUAGCUACUGUUUUACUUAUCUUAGAGCAUUUAAACAUUUUAUAAAAGUGUGGUUUCUCCACCAUAAUUACUUAUGCAUUAUUUGGCACAACUUGAACAACUUGGUUUUAAUAUUUGAAAACUUUUAUUAUUUGCCUUUAAUUGAAUUUGAAUUUGAAUCGGUUUCGAACUAGCACGAGAUUAGCGACAGUAAUCGAAGUGACGUGGCAUCAUUAGCAGAGAAUUACUAUAGCUUGAUUAUCCGGGCGUUACAAAUCUCCUCCACUACAAGAAAUCUCGUCCCGAGAUUUAAGAGGUAGAGUAAGGGGGCAAGAUCUAGUUACGAAAUUUUAACGAAUCCUCUCGGUCUUGGUUGCGCUUCUCGAAGUGGUCGAUCCAUUACAUGGUUGUCUUGAUUUCUCUGCUUCAAGUCAUCACGAUGAAGCCAUCAUCCUGUCUAUAGGACAUCCAUCAUACUUACGACAGAAUAAGGGGGGGGGGUAUUCCAGGAGAACGGAUCUCGGCAAGUUGGACUAUCUGGUCGAUAACAUCGAGGCAGGUGGCGGGAGUAACUCUCGAAUUGGAACUUAAGAAAAUAUCGAGAGUAAAGUAAGGAGGUAUCAUGAGAAGUUUCGAGCGGGCAGGCAACCGUUCGAUGCCUGAAACAUAGCGUGAAAAGGGUUCAAAGCAAUGGGAAUAAGUAUUCUGUCUGAUACCAGAAAUGAUGAUCCCUCGGAAGGUGGCUCGUGAAUUACAUACGAGACCACGCGCGAGGAAUAACUUUGGAACAAGGGGAUGUACAGGAGAGUCAGGUUUCGAUCCUGUGGAACUGUGGGUUAUGGGCCCACCAUGUGGAUUAAAAGUAGGAGGAAUGGUAACAUCUUGCACGGUCAUGGUAGCAAGGCAUGUCAGAGGGUAGCCUGCCAGUUAUGUCGGCAACAACGUCGGUACCAAGGGCGAGGGACGAAGAGAACCAUUUUCCUGCUCGUUGAACGAGGCGGACCAAUAGGCAAAGUUCUCGUCCAUCGGUGGCUACCGGAAUGCCAUCAACAAUAGUAACAGGGUCUUACUGAUAGAGUGGUACAACAAGGUGCUUACCUAAGCAGGGAAAUGUCACUGCUCAGUUAAGUCAGAUUACUGGAAAGGUUAAACAAUACAAUGGAAAUGAUAGUAUGAUUAUCAGAUUAAACAGAACAAUGGAAAGGAAAAUGUGUUUAACACAUAUUUCAGGGGUAUAUCCUUCCCAAGGACAAGCAGAGCCUGAUAACCAUGAUAGGAUAUUAUGUAGAAAAACCUCUAGGUGAGGGGAGAGAAAUUUCAUGACAUUACCAUACAACGGUGUUUGGAUAAUUGAGCAGGAAACAUUUAGCAUUGGGCUUCAAAUGUUCUUAUUGAAGAUCGGAGUACCACAAGCAUGCGUCGAGACAGCAUUGACAAGGUAUUCAAGCAAAUUCGGACUUUGGAUACUCAAAGGAUUCAUCAGGUACAACUUAUAUAAUAAGUCUUACAAUUUCCUCAUGGAGAAAUGGAUAAUCUUGCUAAAAAGGAAACUAUAACAAUAGGGCCUCCGGCUAGGUGUUCUAGGCAUGACAUUAUCUUAUCGGGUCAUAUAUAAAGACCAAUGUUAUAACUCUUGGAAAUAUGUUCUAACCAUCAUAUCUGACCGAGAUUCAGAUCUGAUUGGUGUUAGGAUAACUCAGACUUAGGAUGCCUUAGAAGAAAGGUGCAACACAAAUUGUCGAGGUGACAUUGUAAGAUUCUCGGGAAUUGAACUAUGGAAGCGAGUUCCGAAACAAGAGUUCAUCAUUAAAUCAAGGAGAGGAUGAGGAGGUGGCUGAUGGUCUCGGCGCCAAUUCAUCAAGAUUUCCAAAAGAUGGAUCUCCACAAUUAUGUGAACAAGGAUAUAACAUUUAACAGAUCAAAUGAUAUAAUGAUGUAUGCUCGAGGGAAACAUACACAAUUAAUCACUGGUUGAAAGGUGCACCCGAAAUAUGGGCUUAGGUAGCAGGAUCAAUGUUAGAAUGGUGAUUCGAUAACCAAUGGUCUAAGAAUGAAAUGUCGACCAUUAACUUCAAAGCAAUAGGGUUUCUAGAAGUACAGAAUCCAAGCAACAUGGUUCACGUGUUGGUAUCCCAGUUAGAAUCAACAUGGGGACCAAGAAAGAAUGGUGAGGGUGAGAAGUAUCACAAUACCAAGAAUUCCUUAAGAGGUGGAGCAGUCCUCACAACAUCCUUGACAUAAAAGAUGGUAAUACUCCAAGGUAGAACAUAUCAUAAGCUAGAUAGCAGGGAAAUCAAGAUACAACACAAAAUAUGAACAAGUUUGUGUUGGGGGAGGCAAGAAUGUUGUCGAUGAUAACACAAUUCAUCGAGGGGCAAGGAUGGUAUUUCUCAUCCUGAAUUUCGACACACAACUUGGAAGAAGUCAAAUUGUUGACAACGAUCACGACAAAUUUGUCGAGAGGUUUUCAAGAAGAUGUAAUUGAUCGACGAUGACAUCAAGUCAAACGAAUGAUGAAAGCGAAAGGUUAUUGGAACCAUGGGUACGACACAAACUCAAAAUCAAGCUUGUUGUUCAAGGCGAAAUGAUAUGACGAGGAAAAUCGACGUAAGCUUAGCUCAUCGUCGAAAGUGGUGCUCCGGAAAUAAGGACCAGGUAGCACAGCUAAAAUCAUCUCGACAAUGAUAUAGCCAAAUAGGCUAGGAAUGGCGUGAUCGGGUACAAACUCGUACGUAAAGAAGAUUACUAAGAGUUGUCGAGCCAUAGUGCGGACUUGGUUCAGUUAUCGGUGUCUUUGAGUGUUUCAUAACUCAGAGCCCGUGAAAAAUUGGAAUCAGUGAGAAUGUAGUACUUGAUGAAGAACUCAUAAGAAGUUAUGCAGUUCCAUGAUAAUCUUGAGAUACCAGGGGGGUAAUACUCGACGACAAACCAAAGUAGAGGUUGGACUGGGGUAUUGCUCUGCAGAAGACAAGUGCUUAACUUGUACGAGAAAUGGUAUUUAAAGGAGAACAUGGUCGGAACCACGAUUGCAAAAGGCCAGAUCCCAGAUAUAAGAUGAACUUAUACCAAGGGAAUAAUUAAUUUAAGAGAAGCUUUAAUGAUAAGAUCUACAUCGUGUCCAUGGGCAUGAACACAAAGUUCAAGGUCGACUCCCACUUCUCCAAUGCAUAACCUUUCAUUCACUUCUCGCAUUCGAUGAAGUUGUAUGGUAGAAAAUUAACUGGUAAAAUACCAGAAGGGUAUGACUUGUGAAAACCUUCGGGUUCAUACGGUUUUUAGGGAAGGUAUAGGUUCAAUCCAUCGGGGCAUCUUAGAAACAUAUACCUCAAGUUUCAAUAGUAAAUAUCACCAGCUCGAAAGCAGAGCAUGGUUGGCCAAAUCAAGGAAUAGGAUUUACCAAAGGCAUUAUGUAUCAGGGAAAGAACUUCUCGAGGUUUUUGUAUAUGAAAGACACUGUCGGAUGAUAUUCCAACAAAGGAUCCGACGGUCCAUAGCGGAGCUGAUGUGAGUAUCGGCACACAACCAGAGGAAGAAACAAUGUGAAGGCAUUGGAUGAUAGAAGCAACUGACUAAUUCAAAGCUCACAUCUAAAGGAAUUAUAGUUUCCGAAUCAAAGGAUCAGAAGCAAAUGCUCUGAUUAAGGAUGGAUAACUUGAGUAAGCUUAGGGGUACAAAUGACGACAAUUUGAUUGGUCGAGAUCCAGCUCAUGUUAAAAAAUGACGUCUGAGCCGGAAGGAUGAAUUCUAGGAUAUGAUUGAGGAUUGCGAGCAUUCGCAACAUAUUGAAUCAAUGGACUCAAAAUGAUAUUUGACAAAGGAUGCCAAUAAGAUUACCAGACUUAUGGGAUUAACCAUAAUGCAAGCAAGCAAGAAUUUCAAGAGCAAGAGGAUGCUCAGGAUUUUUGGAAGAUCGAAUGGUAUUUCGAAAACUUUUGUGAAACACAUGAACAAUUGGGAAAGAGCGGAUACUCAAUAAGCGCGAGGAAUUAUCCGUAAGGGUAUUCAUGAGGCAAGAACUGUAUAGCAGUAAGCUCAAAGGAUUCUUGGAACAACGGAGAGCGGUUCAGGGCAUCUUGUAUUAACAAGAUCAACUUGGAAUAAAAUUAAGAACGACGGGUGUAAGUAUUUAUCCAUAGGGAUAGAUCAGUGGUAGGGAAUUGCAAAAGCAACGAGCACAAAGUCUCGAGAACAUCGGAGAGUAUCUUCGAAAUCCUUCGGUGCACCAAGCAAUCAUCUGGAGUGAGGGGCUCUCCGGGAGGAAGUAGUUACGAGAACCUAGAGUUAGAUUUAGUAAAAUCAUUUAACCCGAAUAGAAGAGAGAUCAGAGUCCUAGAGUAUAGAUGAGGAAUAAAAGUCCUAAUACCACCCAAUGGCGACGUGGGCCCGUAAGACACACAGCCAUGUUAGUAAAAGUUUUGCAAUGUCUAGACUCGACUUCGGCCAAGGAGUGUGGAAGGGGGUUUCCUACAGGCAGUCGGCUCUGAUACCAACUUGUGACGCCCCGUUUUGACAGUACACUAAUCAUGCACGCAAAUGUGUACGAUCAAGAUCAGGGACUCACGAGAAGAUAUCACAACACAACUCUACAACAUAAAUAAGUCAUACAAGCAUCAUAAUACAAGCCAGGGGCCUCGAGGCCUCGAAUACAAGUGCUCGAUCAUAGACGAGUCAGCGGAAGCACCAAUAUCUGAGUACAGACAUAAGUUAAACAAGUUUGCCUUAAGAAGGCUAGCACAAAAGUAGCAACGAUCGAAAAGGCAAGGCCUCCUGCCUGGGACCUCCUAACUACUCCUCAAGGCCAAACUCCACGUAGAAUCAUCCUCGGGAUCUCUAGCUCCUGGACUCCAGCAUCUGGUUGCGACAACCAGG